RNAcentral lists this long non-coding RNA (1272 nucleotides) under Marmota monax (woodchuck). Lineage: Eukaryota; Metazoa; Chordata; Mammalia; Rodentia; Sciuridae. The record is from RNAcentral.
CAUGCAGCCUGGAGGUGGAGACCUGUCCAGUUGGCAAAGACAUAAUUAAGAGUGUGGGGCGCUAAGUGCUAUGAAAGAGCUUUGCCCAGGGAUCCAAGGGUGGGAGUUCAAAGGCUGAUGGCUAAAUCCAGAUCUUUGGAGACAGUGCAUCAGGAAAUGCCUCUGAAGAGGGACUUGGCAUCUUGGCCAAGUCUUGAAAUUGGCCAAGCAAGCAAAGAGAUGAGGAAUGAUCAAGGUAGAGGAAACAACUUAUAUGGAGACACAAAGACAUAAGAGAAUCUGUGCACCAGACAGAGUAUUGGAAAUAGCUGAUGGCUGAAACCCAGAGGCAAAAAGAGGAGUAGAGCGAGUACUGACAGCAGAAAAGCAACCGCCUAAGAUGUGCAGCUUUGACCCUGGAGGAAAUGGAAACCAUUGCUGAAAUCAGAGCAAGGGGGGUCACUUGAAUGACUCAUCUCCAGAAGACUGUGAGGCCACUCAGCAAAGGUGGGUUCAGAGGAACAAGAAUGGGCCUCAGUCACAUCAGGGACAAGGGAACGGGUGGGUUCCAGAGUUAUUCAAGAGAUGGGAGCAAUCUGAGUAUCAGCCAACUAGUUCUGGGGAGGAGGAAAGGGCCAAGGUUAGCCUAGACACCUGGACAGGAGGUGAGGUCAUCACUGAAACAGGGAACACAGUGGGGUGAGCACACAAGGAGGAAGAGAGCGCUAUGCCUCCGUGGAUUCCUAAUGGAGAAGAGGAGCUUGGAUGACAAUGGCCACAGCUUCAUGUACAGAUCUACACUUUAGAAGAGUAAUAUUAACUGGACAUGUGGAUGUGAUAAUCUUGAGUUCUCUCCAGGAACAAAUACAGAGUGAGGAAAUCAAAGAAAAUGCCCUGGGACACUGACACGUUAGGGACAGGGAGAAGAAGAGUACUCUAUGGAGGGUAAUUAGAAGAGGCCAGAAAGGUAGGAGGCAGAUCAGUAUUUGGACAAGCCAGAGAAAUGGGACUCACCCAAGAGAGGUCCUCCUAAUUUGCAUGGACAGUCACUGUACUUCCUAAUCAAGUAGUCAACAGUGUUAUUAUCUCCAUUGAAGAAUAAGAAACAAUAAAACUAAAGAGAUUCAAUACUGCACCUAAGGUCAACAGCUGAUGAGUUGAAAGAACUUAUAUUCAAAAUUAAAGCUAACUUCAAAGCCCUGACGUUCCUCCUAUACUUCCGCCCCCACCCACACAGGUCCACUCGCAUCAAAGACGCUAUUAAUACAAAAAGCUAGUGUCUAGAAAUUUCUU